CAAUACUCAAGUAAAUUGAACUGUGUGACUUAUUCCAAGCAGGAAGUGGCCUUGAUAAGCUUUCCUAGUUUUCUGUUUACAGCUUCAAAAGCAAUUUGCCAACCUCGGAGCCACCUUGUUAGAUGACCUAGGAGAAGAUGUGCUGGCAAGGGUCCCUGGUCCAUCAGCAGGAGGCUGGAGCAACUGGGCUCUACUUGCAAGUUGUGUCCUGCAGCACUACAUGGACUGCUGAAUAGUUUGCAAAGAACGCUGCAGAUGACCAGUCUUGUGUGCUGCAAAGUGUUAUAUUCCUCUGCCCCUGGAAGCUGCCUGGUGUGAACACCACCAUUACCUAUUUGUACAGAGAGCCAAAGUGUUAUAUUCCUCUGCCCCUGGAAGCUCCCUGGUGUGAACACCAUUACCUAUUUGUAUAGAGAGGCCAGUCUUGUGUGCUGCAAAGUGUUAUAUUCCUCUGCCCCUGGAAGCUGCCUGGUGUGAACACCACCAUUACCUAUUUGUACAGAGAGCCUAAAAGGUUACACUGUAAUAUGAAGUGAGGAAACAAUCUGUAAAAUUCUUAAAAGAGAAAAAAGGAAUAGAUCUGAAAAGAGAUCCAAUGAGAAUUACUGCAGAGUUACAUAGAAAAUUACUUUAAUUUAGCUAGUCAUACAAGAGCCAUCAGCCUGCUGCCUUGAAAGAGCAGACUCAAUAUCCUUGCCUGUGACCUUCCCAACACCUUUUGAGGAAAUGAGUACAAACCAAGCCCCUUUAAGAAAACAAGUAAGAACCAACCCCCUUUGUAGCUUUUGAUUUUGAAAUACUUCCUACUGUCCAAAUCAAAAAGUUCUUUCAUAAAAUCCUUGUUCAUCUGGUUUUGACCCUGAGGCAGAACUAAACUCCCCAAGCACCAAAGUCCUCGGGGAGACCAUAAUUCAUUCAGAUUGCAAUGGCAGCUCAACUCCCCAAGCACCAAAGUCCUCGGGGAGACCAUAAUUCAUUCUGAUUGCAAUGGCAGCUCAGCUUUCAGUUGUGGUAGCAGCUAAAGGACCUGAUCUCCAUGGCCACUUGUAAGAAGCAGCUUUCAGUUGUGGUAGC
Molecule: long non-coding RNA, 1074 nt
Filed under: Ficedula albicollis (Collared flycatcher)
Lineage: Eukaryota; Metazoa; Chordata; Aves; Passeriformes; Muscicapidae
Description: lncRNA (ENSFALG00000025635.1)
Source: RNAcentral